RNAcentral lists this ribosomal RNA (254 nucleotides) under uncultured bacterium. RNAcentral describes it as "partial 16S ribosomal RNA". It matches the Rfam family "Bacterial small subunit ribosomal RNA", at positions 524 to 776 of the family's 1533-position model. The record is from RNAcentral.
UACGUAGGGUCCGAGCGUUGUCCGGAUUUAUUGGGCGUAAAGAGCUCGUAGGCGGUGUGUCGCGUCGGCCGUGAAAACCUGCAGCUUAACUGUGGGCUUGCGGUCGAUACGGGCAUCACUGGAGUUCGGCAGGGGAGACUGGAAUUCCUGGUGUAGCGGUGAAAUGCGUAGAUAUCAGGAGGAAUACCGAUGGCGAAGGCAGGUCUCUGGGCUGACACUGACGCUCAUGCACGAAAGCGUGGGGAGCAAACAGG